CAUAUAUGUGUAUGUGUGUCUGUGUAUAUGUGUGUAUAUGUCUAUGUAUACACAUACACACACACGUACACUCACCCAACAAAACUAUAU
RNAcentral lists this microRNA precursor (90 nucleotides) under Otolemur garnettii (small-eared galago). Its description in RNAcentral is "miRNA (ENSOGAG00000021045.1)". Lineage: Eukaryota; Metazoa; Chordata; Mammalia; Primates; Galagidae. The record is from RNAcentral.